Long non-coding RNA from Cydia pomonella (codling moth), 3073 nucleotides. RefSeq lists it as uncharacterized. The record is from RefSeq and is a predicted model, not a curated record. The transcript has 2 exons. NCBI's taxonomy places the organism in Eukaryota, Metazoa, Arthropoda, Insecta, Lepidoptera, Tortricidae.
CAGUUCCAUUCUACCAUCGAUCGAUGCCAUCGAUCGACGAACGAUCGAUUGAUCUGGUAGCAACUAUCGAUCGACGUUGACAGUUCCAUUCUACCAUCGAUCGAUGCCGUUGAUCGACGAACGAUCGAUUGAUCUGGUAGCAACUAUCGAUCGACGUUGACAGUUCCAUUCUACCAUCGAUCGAUGCCAUCGAUCGACGAACGAUCGAUUGAUCUGGUAGCAACUAUCGAUCGACGUUGACAGUUCCAUUCUACCAUCGAUCGAUGCCGUUGAUCGACGAUCGAUCGAUUGGUCUGGUAACACCCAUAAGGCAGUGGAAUUUGAUUCGGAUUUUGGCAAUGGAACUUGAAAGCUUCGUACUUAUAAAAAUUAAAGGUUUCUUCGUUUUGCUUGGGGAGUUUUUGCUGUCUCAUUAGAUGCUCUUCUACGGAAGUGUACGGUCCACAGAGAAAAAGAUCUCGCCGAGACCGGGGUGAGCUGGCAAGAACGGGUUAAUAGGACCUAUCGGACCCACAAUCCGAUAUCUCUGGCGGAGUGAGGUUACUGGGGAAAAAGUUGUCUUGGUUCAUUGAAAGAGUUCUGUUGAGCUGAUUUCAGAGCUGAGUCGCUAACAGUCACUUAGUAAUGGAAUACACACUACACGUUUAAGCAGGGAGGGAAAGCACCGACAAGUCUAGAAAAUAGAUUGUAUUUUUCCAUAGCACACGCAUGUGUUCCAUUACAAAAUUCAAUCGAUUUGGGGGCGAGGUGUAACUGGCCAUAAGCCUAUAUAAAGGGUGGUCCAGAUAUAGAGGCCGCCUAUGAAAAUGUUGAUUGCAAUUAAAUGAAAAGCAUGAGACAAAACAUGAAUGAUGUGUUUUUUACAAUAUUUAUUUUAGCAAAACGUACAAACAAUAUUAUAACCCAACGGGCCCUUGUUUGGCACAUUGUAGCAGUUUGGGACGGAAGCGAUUAAACAGCAAUUUUCCAGAUUUUUCCGCAAUUUCCUUGGAAAUCCGUUUCCAGAUUCUUUUCAUUGCUGGUAUGGAGGUUACUGGUUUAUUUAACUCGCAAUAUCUUUGCUUGCAAAGAGCCCAAAACUUUUCAAUUGGACGUAGCUGUGGCACAUUUGGCAAGUUGUCUCGCUUAGGCACAAUAACGACUCCUGCCUUUUUGAGUUCUUUUAGCACAGGUCCCACGUAGUGUGACGUAGCGAGAUCUGGCCAAAAUAAAAUAGGCCUCUGCACAUUAAGCUUCCGAAUGAAUGGCAAUAAUCGUUUUUUAAUACACUCUUCUAAGUAUAUUUCGCUGUUCACAGUUCGGUUAGUCACGAAGGGUUCGGAAAUGUGUCCUUCUUCAGAGAUCGCUUGCCAAAUCAUGAAGCGGCGUUCAAACUUCCCAGUUGGGAGUAACGUGUCUUCGAUUGGAGUCUCCUGUUCAUCGUCCGACAUGCAGUACUUGUCUCCUGCUACUUGCGUUGGAUCCAAGGGCACGUAGGUUUCGUCGUCUAAAACAAAGAAGAAAUUUCGUCCGCUCGGAACGCUGUCUUUGUAUAGCUUAGCUGCACCCUUAAUACACCGAUCAAUCUGAUUUUGAUUGUAUUUGGGGCUGCGUCUUUCCUUCUGCUUCGAAUUCCAGCGGCUUUAUUCACUCGUCGGUACGUUGAAAGACUCAUUCCCAGUUCUCGUGACGCGACGCGAUCAGAUUUGCUACGAUUCUGUCUCGCCUUCCUCAAUACUUUUUUUUGCAAUCUAGGCGUAUUUAUAGUUGGUUUUUGGCCGGGAAGUGGCCUGAAUCCCACUUGAUGAUUAUUUACGUACCGAUUGAUUACAUUUCGGAUGGUCCGCUGAGGUACGUUUUGCUCGCGAAAGUGAUGCAAAGUCAGUAGACGGUUUUCAGAAUGACGUUUGUAAAACUUAGCUCGGUAUUCGUGCUCGGCACGCUUCAUUAUUAUGUAUUUUUUGGAAACAUGCAACUGAAAUCAAAACUAGGAUAAACAACAAUUAAAAUGCAUUUGAUAUUUAUUUCAAUUGUUUAUUUUUUAAUGUGCUCCCGAUAUUUCGACGCAGUUACAUGCAUCAUGAUCACGGGUAAACGGGUUUAUAUCUCGGUCAAUGUGACUAAAAACUAACCGUGAAUCAAUCAAAACUCUUACAUGAGAUUAGUUUUGAUUUUAAGAACUGAAAUAAAAAAGUUAGUUAUUAAGUUGUCACAAUCACAAAUCAACACAAAUUCGUGAUUUCUUUUGUUCUUGGUAACAAUUAAGAUUCACCCGUUUAUUUUGGCAGGUUUAUUAGUACGGCUACAGCUUUUUACCUCAUUUGUGAAAAGUACCUUAUCUUCAAGAGGACAAUUGAUGCUUCUAAGAUUGGGCAUUUAGCUCUUCUUAGCUUCGAUCCUCUACUGGGUGACUAAAACUUUUUUUUAUUUUUUUUUUUAUCUUGCACGUGUGCAUUUGCCCUGAUGCAUAUAGUACCCAUUGCAGGCGGUGUUUAGUGCUUUGUGAAAAGUACCUUAUCUUUAGGAGGACAAUAAAUGCUUCUAAGAAUGAGCCCGUUAUAUUGUUAUUGGCUAGCUAAAACGAUUUAUUUUUAUUUAUGGCAUUUUCUUAUCUUGCACGUGUGCUCUUGACCUGACACAUGUGCAGAUGGUGUUUUAGUGCCUUCUCCCACUCUACCAUAUAACCCGACUUCUGAAACAAUGACAGUGAGGGUAAGUAAUUUAGUCACGAUUUACUCGUUGGCACCUUCUUACCUACACUACCUACCUUUCGCUCGUGUAUAACUAGUGAAGUGACCUGGCUGUGGAUUAUCGGAAUACGUACUUGCCUAACCUGACUGAGCCCGCUUUGAACUGGACACCGAACCUGCUUUAUCAGACGACCUGGCUACGAAUUCUGGAAACAUGAACCUUCCCGCAUCGACUGACACGGCUAUGCAUCCUGACCUGGCAGCUAUGCAGGUGGAGAUAAAUAACUUUGACGAAACUGCAACUGAACCAACUGGUACGUACCCGGUAUCCUAUACUUUAUACUCUUUUUAUGGCGGGAAACGUAUAAAAUAACAAUAAAUAAUACUUUGACUACCGGUCUGGC